AGAACAGAGACUCUGAGUUUACUGAAAGUUCACUGAGUUACUGAGGUGUCCACAGAAGAGGAUUUCACUUGCAUAAGAAAGGCACAGGGAAUCAAGCAGCCCUGGCAUCUGUGGCGUGCCAGAGAGAAGGCUCAAGCAGAAUAUACUUCCUCAUCCAUCUAGUGCAACAGGGGAUUACUCCACAGACCUGGCAUAUGCUGCAGCAGCCUUAUAUCCAGCCCUGCCUCCUGCCACUCCUGAAGGAACCCCUGAGAUCACUCCAGACUUGACCCAUGAUGUUAUAUAUGGGACUGCUGAUGGAUGCUGCUCCUCUCACGGCCCUGCCUUCCUGAGGUGCUGCUGUUCUUUUGUCAGAGAGAACAUUAUCCUGCCUGUGCUCAGCUCUUGGCUCAUACUCUUCAACAGACCAGUGAACCAUCCUCUUCUGAACUGGACCAGAUCCCUCUAACCAAGGGCUUUUGUUGCUCCCGGAAAAACAGGUACAUAAAACAAGAAUUUUUCCCCAGCAAAUUUACAUUCAGUAUCAGCAAAUUAGGAACAAAUUUAUGUUUGCUUGAAUUUUGUGAAUCAUGUUUAAUGCUUCUGAGUUUUAAGGGCAGAGAGGACUUCUACACCUCACUCAUAAAGAAUUAGUGAUACAUUUUUCUACAAUGUAUUUCUUGCACCAUUCCAAAUAUUUUUUAAUCUGGUAUUAUUCAGUUCCUGUCAUAAAGAAGCCUAAUAUAUUCAUAAAACCCAACCUUUACUUAUAACCCUUUUUCAGAGCUUUAACUGCUAGAUUGUAUCUGCAAUUUAAAAUUUGGCUUCAGACUGCAUAAUUUACCAAGUAUAUUCUCUCAGCAGCUGUUGAUUUAGGCAAAAAAAUCACAGUAAAAUCACUGUGAAAGAAGAGACAUCCACAGUUAAAAUCUAAAACUAGACAAAGACAAAUCUUCCUUUGACUAUUUGGUGCCUACCUGGGAGUUUUACCUCUAAGGGUGGGAGAAAUGUGCAACAUUUACCUGCUGGUGAAAAUGUGAGCAGAUAGAUGUACCGUAUCUUAUACAGCCUCAGAGAAGAACGCAAGAAAAUCUGGCAAGCAGGUGCUUUGCCUCUUCCAUUAUGAAAAAUUGAUCAGCUUAAGUGCUUCACAGUACAGGUGAAGUACACAUCACACUGAUAUAAGUCAUCAUAUGCACGGCUUCUAAGGGUGAACAUGGUGAGAUGUGUGUCAGCCAUGCAACAAUUCCAUCCCUGUACUAUUCCUGGGGUCAGAUCAACUACAAAGAAACUCUAUAUGCAGCUGAUGAAGGCAAGCAGCCAUUGGUCAUAACUGUGAUCCAUCCCUAGACUAGAUUAAAAAAAUGCCACUAGGGUGGAUUCCUCAUAUUAGGGAAUCUCUCUGCUUAUUCUGACUGAGUUUGAAUUGUGCUUGUCUUGUCAAGAAUUUCAUAACAUUCUAUAAAAUUAUAGGGUUGACUCUAUGAACGAAAUUGACAGGAUCCAAAUUUACAGCAAUAUUCGUGAAUGAGAAUCUAGGACUAGUUUUAUGAUAAACAAAUCUAUAGGCAAAUAUUCAAUAAACUGGGGGAACUCACAUCUCUGGGUUGUAAUUAUGAGACACGCCCCUUUGAAUUUCAGUGGAUGCAGGAUUUCCUUAUUACUCCUGCAAGGAAUCAAAAACUCUUUCCUGUGCUGCACAAUAAUUUUGCCUGUACUGCUUUAACAUACACCAGGCAAUUUACAGAUGAAGGAUAUUUUCUUCCAAUUCAGUCAAGCAGUAAUAAGUCUCACAGUUCACUUCUUGAUCUCAUCCUAUUACUUCACUAUUUUUUCAUUUCAUUGUUCCAAUCAUGAUGUCCUCAGACAGUAUCAUUUUUCCUGCUUUCUCCUAGUGGCACUGAUGCCUCAUCUUUACCAUAUGCAAUCAAUCUCUGGCCUGCCUCUGAAAAGGAUAUUCCCCCAUACAGUUUGACUCAUCAUUUUUUAACAGUCGUUAUCUUUUUCCUUGUUGCUGUAUAUUUUUUUGUUCUGCUUUGGUUUGGGGUUGUUGGUUCCUUGGUUUUUGGGGCUUUUUGGUUAGGUAUGUUUAUUAUUUUUCUGCUCUUCUUCUUCCUUAUUAUAGCGCAAUAUAAAAGUCACCUUCAGAUAGAUGCCACAAACUCAACCUACCCCUUUGAACAGGGAAGACAUUGCUUCUUCCGUUCACCACAAAAAUCAAAAUGCCUACCAAAGAGUGGGAGAACAUGCAGAGGCAGUAACAUAAAGGUGAAAGACUGUGAUGACCUUUCCCCACCUGUAACAGUAAGUUUAGAGUCUGUACUGGUAACUUAUGAGAAUCCAUGGCUUUCAGAAAAAUGAGAUCACUUCCCAAAGCUGUACAUGCUGUAAUUACAUCACAGUUGUAAUAUUGUCAACAAAUUCUCAGAACAGCAAGCUCUUGUCAUUCUAAACAAGUACAUUUUUAAUCAUUAAAUGAAAAGAUUUCAAUUCCAGGGGCUAGAGAAAAAUAUAUCAUCUCUCUGCAAAAAUGAGAGAAUUCUAGUGUUUCAAAGAGUAGUCCCAUUAGUCAGCACACUAAUGUGUUCCACAGAAGCCCACAUCAUGUGAUGAUCUUUCCUGACCAAGAAAAAAACCAACAAACUUAUAUUUAAUAACCAAAUUUGAUUUAUGUACUGCAGAAAUGCAAAUAUUUCUUUGUCCUGUAUUCCUUCUCAAGGGCUGGAACCAGUAAAA
Catharus ustulatus (Swainson's thrush) is the source of this 2715-nucleotide long non-coding RNA. RefSeq lists it as uncharacterized. NCBI's taxonomy places the organism in Eukaryota, Metazoa, Chordata, Aves, Passeriformes, Turdidae. The record is from RefSeq and is a predicted model, not a curated record. The transcript has 3 exons.